This 244-nucleotide ribosomal RNA is filed under the name uncultured bacterium. RNAcentral's name for it is "partial 16S ribosomal RNA". It matches the Rfam family "Bacterial small subunit ribosomal RNA", at positions 87 to 334 of the family's 1533-position model. The record is from RNAcentral.
UAUGGCGACCGGCGCACGGUGAGUAACACUAUCCAACCUGCCGAUGACUCGGGGAUAGCCUUUCGAAAGAAAGAUUAAUACCCGAUGGCAUAGUUCUUCCGCAUGGUAGAACUAUUAAAGAAUUUCGGUCAUCGAUGGGGAUGCGUUCCAUUAGGUUGUUGGCGGGGUAACGGCCCACCAAGCCUUCGAUGGAUAGGGGCUCUGAGAGGAAGGUCCCCCACAUUGGAACUGAGACACGGUCCAA